Pezoporus occidentalis (night parrot) is the source of this 1256-nucleotide long non-coding RNA. RefSeq lists it as uncharacterized. The record is from RefSeq and is a predicted model, not a curated record. Lineage: Eukaryota; Metazoa; Chordata; Aves; Psittaciformes; Psittacidae. The transcript has 2 exons.
UCACCUCUUUGUGGCUUCCCAGGUACCUGCUGCUGCUGCUCCCUUUCAUUUGCCACAGAAGAUGUUUUACUGAUGGGUGUCAGCAUCUCCUCCUCGCUGGCACUGACGGAUGCUGAGGUACCCCUCAGCCCAUCAGCAACCUCACACACAGCCUCCCUGUGGUCCUGAUCCCCAUGCAGGACUGAGUAACAACCGCACAAGAGAAGGAGGCUCUCCUGAGAGCAAGCUCAUUCUGCAAAGGCUGGGUAUGAACUUGGAGAGAGCCCCUCACUGCACCCUCUUCUCCGCUCUGUCGGUGCAUAGCCCUCACACCAUUCCAGGAAGGAAUGCACAGGCAUAAACCAGUGACAUAACCUGCCAAACCAGCCUUGGAGCUGGGACCACAACAUGCUCCUGGGGAAAAACUAAAGCAAACAGCAGCUCCCAGCACCCAGCACAGCUCUCAGCCACAGAUCCCCGCUCACCAAUUAGAUUUCCUCCACCAGUUUGCAUGGGGAAAAGCAGGGAGGAAAUGCCAGCUGCUGCUGGGCAUGCAGAACAGAUUCAUGUGUGUGUUUAAAGCACUAAUAACUCCCUUCCUGCUGAAAGAGGGAAAAGACUUUCUCUUAAUCCUUCCUUGCAUCAGUAAUCAGAGAGAGGAGCAGAUGGUGCCAGAAAUACAGUAAUACGCCCGUUAAAAUAGCUCAGUAGCUGAUGACUUAGCACCAGACCCCAUGCAGCAAACACCUUUAUGAGAGCCCUGCUCCAGCAGAAAACAGUGGCUCAUGCAGUGAGCCUGAGGAAAGAAGAAGUCUCCGGGAAUGAACCCAGCUCCAUUUAGCAGUAAGGCCAGGGCUCUCACCUGCAAGCUCUUUGCCAGCAGAUGUGCUCAGCAAGGUUUGCUCUCCAGGCACAUUCACACAAGGUACGUGUCCCAUUCUGCCCCUCAGUAACAUCAGUCUGUGCCUUCCAGCUGAGUGGUGAACAUCCCCAGCCCUGCUGCUAGGCUUCCCAGAGUCCAUUCAUCCCUCAAGAGGAAUAAGCAGAUGGACAAGAGGCUUUCCAAUUAUGGAUUUCUCCUCUACAAUUCCCAGGGUAAGGUAGCAUGCUAGGGGCUCUAUCUUCCAUGGUACUUGAUUUGAAACACAGAGAUGAAGGGUCAUGAGAUGAAAGAGAAGCAUUAAUCUCCCAUGUUGACUCAGCAUCACAAUGAAUUUCAUCCUUCAACUGCUUUUGCUCUUGGCUGGAGGUCAGCAUUUUCAGGGAGGAAUACUCCA